UACGAAGGGUGCAAGCGUUACUCGGAAUUACUGGGCGUAAAGGGUGCGUAGGUGGUUUUUUAAGUCCGUUGUGAAAUCCCUGGGCUCAACCUGGGAAUGGCAGUGGAUACUGGAAAGCUAGAGUGCGGUAGAGGGUAGUGGAAUUCCCGGUGUAGCAGUGAAAUGCGUAGAGAUCGGGAGGAACACCAGUGGCGAAGGCAAUCCCCUGGACCUGUACUGACGCUCAUGCACGAAAGCGUGGGGAGCAAACAGG
This 253-nucleotide ribosomal RNA is filed under the name uncultured bacterium. RNAcentral describes it as "partial 16S ribosomal RNA". It matches the Rfam family "Bacterial small subunit ribosomal RNA", at positions 524 to 776 of the family's 1533-position model. The record is from RNAcentral.